UACGGAGGAUCCAAGCGUUAUCCGGAUUUAUUGGGUUUAAAGGGUGCGCAGGCGGAAGAUUAAGUCGGCGGUGAAAUUUUGCAGCUCAACUGUAAAAGUGCCAUCGAUACUGGUUUUCUUGAGUGUGGAUGAAGUAGGCGGAAUUUGUGGUGUAGCGGUGAAAUGCAUAGAUAUCACGAGGAACUCCGAUUGCGCAGGCAGCUUACUAGGCCAUAACUGACGCUCAGGCACGAAGGCGUGUGGAUCAAACAGGAUUA
This 257-nucleotide ribosomal RNA is filed under the name uncultured prokaryote. RNAcentral describes it as "partial 16S ribosomal RNA". It matches the Rfam family "Bacterial small subunit ribosomal RNA", at positions 524 to 780 of the family's 1533-position model. The record is from RNAcentral.